UACGGAGGGGGCUAGCGUUGUUCGGAAUUACUGGGCGUAAAGCGCGCGUAGGCGGACCUGCAAGUCGGGGGUGAAAUCCUGGAGCUCAACUCCAGAACUGCCUUUGAUACUGGUGAGCUUGAGUCCGGAAGAGGUGAGUGGAACUCCGAGUGUAGAGGUGAAAUUCGUAGAUAUUCGGAAGAACACCAAUAGCGAAGGCAGCUCGCUGGGACGGUACUGACGCUGAGGCGCGAAAGCGUGGGGAGCGAACAGG
Molecule: ribosomal RNA, 253 nt
Filed under: uncultured bacterium
Lineage: Bacteria
Description: partial 16S ribosomal RNA
Rfam family: Bacterial small subunit ribosomal RNA
Source: RNAcentral